This 253-nucleotide ribosomal RNA is filed under the name uncultured bacterium. RNAcentral describes it as "partial 16S ribosomal RNA". It matches the Rfam family "Bacterial small subunit ribosomal RNA", at positions 524 to 776 of the family's 1533-position model. The record is from RNAcentral.
UACGGGGGGGGUAAGCGUUGUUCGGAAUUAUUGGGCGUAAAGGGUGCGUAGGCGGUGCGGUAAGUCUGUAGUGAAAUCUCUGGGCUCAACUCAGAGUCUGCUAUAGAAACUGCCGUGCUUGAGUGUGGGAGAGGUGAGUGGAAUUCCCGGUGUAGCGGUGAAAUGCGUAGAUAUCGGGAGAAACACCUGUGGCGAAAGCGGCUCACUGGACCACAACUGACGCUGAUGCACGAAAGCUAGGGGAGCAAACAGG